AACGAACGCUGGCGGCAGGCCUAACACAUGCAAGUCGAGCGCGCCCUUCGGGGUGAGCGGCGGACGGGUGAGUAACGCGUGGGAACGUGCCCUUUUCUACGGAAUAGUCUCGGGAAACUGAGAGUAAUACCGUAUACGCCCUUUGGGGGAAAGAUUUAUCGGAAAAGGAUCGGCCCGCGUUGGAUUAGGUAGUUGGUGGGGUAAUGGCCUACCAAGCCGACGAUCCAUAGCUGGUUUGAGAGGAUGAUCAGCCACACUGGGACUGAGACACGGCCCAGACUCCUGCGGGAGGCAGCAGUGGGGAAUCUUAGACAAUGGGGGCAACCCUGAUCUAGCCAUGCCGCGUGAGUGAUGAAGGCCUUAGGGUUGUAAAGCUCUUUCAGCUGGGAAGAUAAUGACGGUACCAGCAGAAGAAGCCCCGGCUAACUCCGUG
Molecule: ribosomal RNA, 433 nt
Filed under: uncultured bacterium
Lineage: Bacteria
Description: partial 16S ribosomal RNA
Rfam family: Bacterial small subunit ribosomal RNA
Source: RNAcentral